CCUACGGGAGGCAGCAGUGGGGAAUAUUGCACAAUGGGGGAAACCCUGAUGCAGCGACGCCGCGUGAGUGAGGAAGUAUUUCGGUAUGUAAAGCUCUAUCAGCAGGGAAGAAAAUGACGGUACCUGACUAAGAAGCCCCGGCUAACUACGUGCCAGCAGCCGCGGUAAUACGUAGGGGGCAAGCGUUAUCCGGAUUUACUGGGUGUAAAGGGAGCGUAGACGGCUAAUCAAGUCAGAAGUGAAAACCCAGGGCUCAACCUUGGGACUGCUUUUGAAACUGAGUAGCUAGAGUGCAGGAGAGGUAAGCGGAAUUCCUAGUGUAGCGGUGGAAUGCGUAGAUAUAUGGAAGAACACCAGUGGCGAAGGCGGCUCUCUGGUCUGCAACUGACGCUGAGGCUCGAAAGCAUGGGUAGCGAACAGGAUUAGAUACCCGGGUAGUC
This 440-nucleotide ribosomal RNA is filed under the name uncultured bacterium. RNAcentral's name for it is "partial 16S ribosomal RNA". It matches the Rfam family "Bacterial small subunit ribosomal RNA", at positions 338 to 795 of the family's 1533-position model. The record is from RNAcentral.